AUCCAGCUGACGAGUCCCAAAUAGGACGAAACGCGCGUGCUGGAU
Molecule: non-coding RNA, 45 nt
Organism: Schistosoma mattheei
Lineage: Eukaryota; Metazoa; Platyhelminthes; Trematoda; Strigeidida; Schistosomatidae
Source: Rfam